CUGAAGUGAUUCGUUGAAGGUCGCUUGGCAGACCGAGUUAAAGAAUUCUGCUCUUCUGAGCCUCAAACCUGUGUUCUGUUAAACUGUUGGCAGAAAGCAGACUGCAUCUUUGGCCUGAAGUGGUCACCAAGCCAGUAGCUGGAAAUUGUAAUAUAUUGAACUGUGUUUUCAUUCUUUGAUACUGGCACCAGUUAAACAUACUCCAUGUGACCAUCUAUGACAUCUCUGCAAAGUACCUCAAUCCCUGAGGUUUGUCUUCAGAAGACAUUUCAUUCAGCUUCAAAGUCCAGGAUCGUUCUUGAGGCAAAAGCACCUUUUGUGCUUCUCCUUGUAAGGACCAAGAUAAGAAAAAGAAGAUGCAGGUAAACUGUUGCCAGUUCUGCUGGAAUGAACCAUAUAUUUCUCAAAACCACCUCCUAGACCAGACAGUCUGGGACAUGCUUUUUCCUGGAUUAUUCCUGGACCUAUUGCUUAAAAAUUGGAUUAUUGUUCUUUGUAAGUUUUUGCUUGUUUGUUUGUUUUUUUGUUGAACCUUCCAGGACUCAUUGUUUAAUCUCUAGAACUUGAACUCCUCCAUCUAAAAUAUGGUACAUUAUCAGAACAAACUAGGGGAUAAUCAUUCUGCUUUACUCAAGAAUUUGAGAUUUCAAAAUCUGCCUUCAUUUCAAAUUGGGCAACAGCCAAAUAUUUUGAAGAAGUAAAACAGAUUGAUCAAAACAUUUCAACUGUACUGUUUAUCUUGAAAGACAUUUUAGGAUCUUAACAUAAAUUUGACCCAAUAUGUAAUUUUUAAAAAGAAAAUCCAUGUUUUAUUUCAGGAACAUGUCAACAUUUUGAGGCUCUUGGAACUACUUUCAGUAUUUCUUAAAGGAAGUUUGCAGAAAGCAAACAUGGUUUUGAAAACAUUUUGUUUUCUCUUAGAAAAUAUCUCUGUUAAGAUUAUAGACAGGUAUUCCCUUUGUUUAUUCACUAUACCUAUGAACUGUCAUGAAACUAGAAAGACUUGAUUGUGGAAGCUUGGACAGAAAAUGCAAAGCAAAACAUCAGCUGAAGUAAAAUGUUAUUAGCUUGAUUGAAGUCUGCCCUUAGAAUUGUGUUAGUCCUUGCUCUGCAUUUUCAGCUAUAUGCAUCUGGUGUAGCAAGAAGGCAUCAUGCACUACCUUUUACUCAUUUCUGAAGUGCUCAGUUGGAAAGGCAUUUUCAUUAGGCAGUUCUGUAUGUGUGAACAUGUGUCAUCUAAUCAUGGGCACAAAGCUUAAAAUAUAAUGCUGACUUCUGUAUGGGCACCUUAUAUACUGUAAAUAUAUUAUAAAAUAUGUGUGUUAUAAGCAAAGCGCCUAAGUUAUGUUGUGCUCGGUAUUCCAAAUGAUCAGAUCAGAUGUUCAAGCUUAAAUAUUCAGGAUUUGGUUUUUUUAAUUUCCAAUGAGCUAAUUAAAGCCAUAGCUAAAAUAAUGCUUUACAUCUCGAAGUAAAACAUUUCCCUGCACAACACAGUGAAUAUGCCAUUAUUCAAGAUGCUUGUACUAAAACAUUAGAGGAAGUGAUGUAUGGUAUCUCGAUUCCUAGAAAUGUGAACUGUCUUAAAAAUAUAUGUACAACUUUUUGGUACCCUUAAAAAUAUUUGGUGUGCAUUUUUUUGGUACUACACAGACAUUUUCCUCAUUAUCUGAAUUUAAACCUGACUUGCAUCAAACCUAUAGUCUGCCUCUCUUAGCUGCCUCCAGUAAUUUUUUAGUAGGGUUAUGUGUGGUGUGUGCGCUUAAGAAAACAACAUUAGGUUGUGCUAUCUGAUCUUAACAUGCUGUACUGUUGUGGUGAAUUUCUUAAUGUACCAGGGUGUCCAUCAGGCCCCAGAUACAACCACAAAGCCAAGCCAGUGACGCAAAUCAGCAGCUGAUAUAAACAAGUUGACACAAACCAGAAACUGAGCUAGCAGCGAAC
Strigops habroptila (Kakapo) is the source of this 1941-nucleotide long non-coding RNA. RefSeq lists it as uncharacterized. The record is from RefSeq and is a predicted model, not a curated record. The transcript is spliced from 3 exons. Lineage: Eukaryota; Metazoa; Chordata; Aves; Psittaciformes; Psittacidae.